RNAcentral lists this long non-coding RNA (522 nucleotides) under Equus caballus (horse). RNAcentral describes it as "lncRNA (ENSECAG00000043496.2)". Lineage: Eukaryota; Metazoa; Chordata; Mammalia; Perissodactyla; Equidae. The record is from RNAcentral.
AGGUUGUUGAUUUUUUAAAAGCAUUUGUGUCCUCUACUCCUUGAACAUCAGCUCCUUAAGGACAGGAGACCCUGUCUGUCUGAGGAGUUACAGCCUGCCGCCUACUGAAUUCACAUGGUGGAGUCUUGGUAAAGCUGGAGUCUGAACGCAGAAAGUUCUCAAGUUUUCCAUGCCUGCUCAGGAAAAGGAGCAAAGCAUCAAUUGUGCAGACAAGGGAUCAAUAUUCCUUCUCCCAUGGGCUAAGUAACCUCCAGGGACCCUUGGACUGCUGGUCUCCGUCUGUGUCUCUGGGAGUCAGGCUGAUGGAACUGCUGUAAUAUGUAAAACACAAAGAAAUAUGAAAGGAUCCCUCAGGAACUUUAACUUCCUAUAUUGGUGAAAAAUGCUUCAAAGUUAGCAAAAGACCAACUUCUAGAGCCUUUGGAAUAUUUUUGAAGGCAAGAGCUUAUGUGAUAUCAGAUGCUGUAAAUUCUUAGCUCACGUCUACAACAGUAUGCUUUCAAUAAACGUUUUCUCUUGCUG